This 145-nucleotide unclassified non-coding RNA is filed under the name soil metagenome. RNAcentral describes it as "partial internal transcribed spacer 1". The record is from RNAcentral.
UAAUAAGUGUUUUAUGGCACUUUUUAAAUCCAUAUCCACCUUGUGUGCAAUGUCAGUCGAUCUUCUUCAUGGAGUUCGACCAAACAUCAACCUUUAUUUUUUAACUCUUUGUCUGAAAAAUAUUAUGAAUAAACAAUUCAAAAUA